GUCUAUUUCUCCUGCAGAGUGAGCUGGACUUGGAAAAGGGCUUGGAGAUGAGAAAAUGGGUCCUGUCGGGAAUCCUGGCUAGCGAGGAGACUUACCUGAGCCACCUGGAGUGUUCACCGACCUGCUUCUCUGCACCAAGCUCAAGAAGCAGAGCGGAGGAAAACGCAGCAGUAUGACUGCAAAUGGUACAUUCCGCUCACGGAUCUCAGCUUCCAGAUGGUGGAUGAACUGGAGGCA
RNAcentral lists this long non-coding RNA (237 nucleotides) under Homo sapiens (human). RNAcentral describes it as "long non-coding RNA NONHSAT083869.2". The record is from RNAcentral. Lineage: Eukaryota; Metazoa; Chordata; Mammalia; Primates; Hominidae.